Molecule: ribosomal RNA, 445 nt
Filed under: uncultured organism
Description: partial 16S ribosomal RNA
Rfam family: Bacterial small subunit ribosomal RNA
Source: RNAcentral
ACUCCUACGGGAGGCAGCAGUGGGGAAUAUUGGACAAUGGGCGCAAGCCUGAUCCAGCCAUGCCGCGUGAGUGAUGAAGGCCCUAGGGUUGUAAAGCUCUUUCACCGGUGAAGAUAAUGACGGUAACCGGAGAAGAAGCCCCGGCUAACUUCGUGCCAGCAGCCGCGGUAAUACGAAGGGGGCUAGCGUUGUUCGGAUUUACUGGGCGUAAAGCGCACGUAGGCGGACUAUUAAGUCAGGGGUGAAAUCCCGGGGCUCAACCCCGGAACUGCCUUUGAUACUGGUAGUCUUGAGUUCGAGAGAGGUGAGUGGAAUUCCGAGUGUAGAGGUGAAAUUCGUAGAUAUUCGGAGGAACACCAGUGGCGAAGGCGGCUCACUGGCUCGAUACUGACGCUGAGGUGCGAAAGCGUGGGGAGCAAACAGGAUUAGAAACCCCGGUAGUCCC